Molecule: long non-coding RNA, 926 nt
Filed under: Marmota monax (woodchuck)
Lineage: Eukaryota; Metazoa; Chordata; Mammalia; Rodentia; Sciuridae
Source: RNAcentral
CUUCAAUUACCCUUGUUGGGUGAACAACUUGAUUUUUUCCUAACAUUACUGAGCACCUGCUAGGGGACUGCACUAAAUACAGCAGACAAAAGUGCCUCAGGAAUUCAGCCCCAAGAUUUCUAGAGGAUUCAAUUUCUCACUAGCAGACACAAAAUAAUUCCUUACCCUCUCCGAACUUUGUGAUGGAUACAAUGUCUGGAUGACAAGACUCUUCCCCAGAUUACUCUUUGCUGAAAUGACGGCUGAGCAUAGUAUGGACCUAGCAUUUCCAGUGAACGGUUCAAUUUCAGUGUUAAUUUUCCCCCAAGUUUCUAUGUCAGCAUAGAUUCGUAGUAGAGUGAGUGGAUGAACAAAUUGAUAGAGGUUUUUCUUCUGAGAUGUUGAAGUCGACUUGCUUUGACUCCCAAGUAAUUUCAAAACUGUUUUUUAAGAAAUUGUUUCCAGUCUUGGAGUAGACGCUAGAAAUCUGACAGAAGCUACGAUAUUAAAUCUUUUUUGACGAAGGAAAGUGGUGUUUUUUUUUUAAAAUGUCUGAAAUAUAGAGAUGUCUAUAUAGAAUAUAUGCCUUUUGUUUUAGAAAAUUAAGGGAUUCCUCUGCAUAAAUAAAUUGCAGAUUUAAUUUGGGAAAGAGCUGUCUUUUGCCUCAUGCUUUAAGUAGCAAGGUAUUUUUUAGUGAAACAAUAGGCGCUAGUAGGUUUUACAAACUCAACACAUUCACAUAAUAAAGAUGAAGCUAUGAAGCUACAAGGAAACAGGAAUAAGGUAUGUCAUGACUACCUCAAGAGAAGUAAUUUGAGCAAUUAAGGAAUAACUAUGGCAAAAACAAAACAAUAAGUAGAACCUAUGGACUUGAUUUCUGGGAAAUUACUAGAGACUUUCACUUAUUAGUCUGACCUGUUUAAUUUUCUACACUGCUCAACUCUUAC